RNAcentral lists this ribosomal RNA (460 nucleotides) under uncultured bacterium. Its description in RNAcentral is "partial 16S ribosomal RNA". It matches the Rfam family "Bacterial small subunit ribosomal RNA", at positions 338 to 795 of the family's 1533-position model. The record is from RNAcentral.
CCUACGGGAGGCAGCAGUGAGGAAUAUUGGUCAAUGGACGAGAGUCUGAACUAGCCAAGUAGCGUGAAGGAUGACUGCCCUAUGGGUUGUAAACUUCUUUUAUAAAGGAAUAAAACGAGGCACGUGUGCCUUUUUGCAUGUACUUUAUGAAUAAGGAUCGGCUAACUCCGUGCCAGCAGCCGCGGUAAUACGGAGGCUCCGAGCGUUAUCCGGAUUUAUUGGGUUUAAAGGGAGCGUAGAUGGGUUGUUAAGUCAGUUGUUAAAGUUUGCGGCUCAACCGUAAAAUUGCAAUUGAUACUGGCAGUCUUGAGUACAGUUGAGGUAGGCGGAAUUCGUGGUGUAGCGGUGAAAUGCUUAGAUAUCACGAAGAACCCCGAUUGCGAAGGCAGCUUACUAAACUGUGACUGACAUUGAUGCUCGAAAGUGGGGGUAUCAAACAGGAUUAGAUACCCCUGUAGUC